Molecule: transfer RNA, 87 nt
Filed under: bacterium
Lineage: Bacteria
Description: tRNA-Leu
Rfam family: tRNA
About the family: Transfer RNA (tRNA) molecules are approximately 80 nucleotides in length. Their secondary structure includes four short double-helical elements and three loops (D, anti-codon, and T loops).
Source: RNAcentral
GCCCGGGUGGUGGAAUUGGUAGACACGAGGGACUUAAACUCCCUUGCCCUCAAAAGCGUGCGGGUUCAAGUCCCGCCCCGGGCACAA